This 512-nucleotide small RNA is filed under the name Pan troglodytes (chimpanzee). RNAcentral's name for it is "retained intron". Lineage: Eukaryota; Metazoa; Chordata; Mammalia; Primates; Hominidae. The record is from RNAcentral.
GAUCGCUCGGCAGCUGCAAGAGCUGCGGCGGCUGGAGGAGGAGGUUCGGCUCCUGCGGGAGACCUCGCUGCAGCAGAAGAUGAGGCUAGAGGCCCAGGCCAUGGAGCUAGAGGCUCUGGCACGGGCGGAGAAGGCCGGCCGAGCUGAGGCUGAGGGCCUGCGUGCUGCUUUGGCUGGGGCUGAGGUUGUCCGGAAGAACUUGGAAGAGGGGAGCCAGCGGGAGCUGGAAGAGGUUCAGAGGCUGCACCAAGAGCAGCUGUCCUCUUUGACACAGGCUCACGAGGAGGCUCUUUCCAGUUUGACCAGCAAGGCUGAGGGCUUGGAGAAGUCUCUGAGUAGUCUGGAAACCAGAAGAGCAGGGGAAGCCAAGGAGCUGGCCGAGGCUCAGAGGGAGGCUGAGCUGCUUCGGAAGCAGCUGAGGUAGGUGGGCGGAUGCCGACGGGAGCCCAGCAAUUAGUGAUGUGGUGGAUCUGCAGGGCGCCCCACUGAUGGCUGUCCCAUUCCCACCCCAA